Octopus bimaculoides (California two-spot octopus) is the source of this 7345-nucleotide RNA transcript. It is a transcript of the gene named alpha- and gamma-adaptin-binding protein p34, with no coding region annotated. The record is from RefSeq and is a predicted model, not a curated record. NCBI's taxonomy places the organism in Eukaryota, Metazoa, Mollusca, Cephalopoda, Octopoda, Octopodidae.
AACUCUUCCUUUAUAAGCUGAUUGCCUAGACGUUAAUACACAUAAAUGUAUGACGUAUUACACAUAAUUAUUUCAAUAUGGCUAUUCUUCCCUGUGCAGUGUUUUCAUCUCCUGAUAUUUCGGAUUCUAUAGAUCUUAUCAGGCAGUUGCUCAAUGUUGAGGAGUUACCUACAAGUGAAGAAGACAAUGGGUACAAGUGGAAUAUAAACAACAAGUACUACACUGCACAAGUACAACUGUAUGCCUUGCCAGAUGCCACCUCUCAAGUUUGUAGGCAAUACCCUGAUUCAGUACAAGCUGUUAUUCUCUAUUUUGAUGCAGAUGAGGAAGAAAGUUUUAAAACAGUGAAGCAUUGGUUGCCAUUCCUCAGUCAAAAUAAACCAGAUAUUCAAAUAAUUGUAUGUAGACACUGUUCCGAUUUCACAGCUGUCCCUCGAAUGACAGUUUUAAAAUGGUGUGUAGAGAAUGCAAUGGAACUAGUGGAAUUGAAACCUGACUUAAAUGAAGAAGAAGACUUCCAAGAGUCAUAUGGAAUAAGCAGAAUAAUACAAGCUCUGCAUGCUCACACAUGGCCAAACCUAGUGAUGAAACAACCUGGAUCACCAUUUUGUAAAACUUUUUUGAAUGAGAUAGUGUCGAAGAAAGGUUCUGAGGUUUCUAACAAAAUCAGUUGUGGUUUAGAAUGUGAUAGAAAAACACAUCGUGAAGAAAUAUCAAAAUUAGAAAAUUCACAGCCUGAAGAAGAUUGUGUGGUUGAUGAUAACAUCGAUAUAGGUGCAGCUAAACAACUGGAUCAAGAAAGUGUUGAAAAUGAAAGCAGAGAGAAACAAACAGAAAAAUUUUUCAAAGAUGAGUCUGAAGAUGCUUCGCUAUAUUUUGAAUCAGUAGAAUCUUUUGAAUCACUCUGUGCAAAGAUAAAACAUCUACAAGUCAAGGGAAAUCUAUUAACACCCAACCAACGGAGAAAAUAUGCAGAAAAGGUCAGAAAUGUGCUGCAAAUAACAUGAAAGCAUGGUCUGUCUUUAUCCAGAGCUUUAACAAAUUGCUUCAUAAUGCCAAGUUUGAUAUGGAGUGGAGGCAACUCUGUCAUUUUGGAGGGCUAUUGGUGGAAAUUCUGAUGAAAUAGAUGACUCAUCAGACACUGAUGUUGAAACAUGAAAUAUUACUACCUAAUAACAUAGAUUUAUAUAUGAAAUUGCAUUUUCAUGCAUUUUACUGUUGUAUAUAAGCUAAAACGUAUCUAUAUAUAGAAAAGUAACAAACAUUUCUAUGUCUAAGAAGUAAAAUUUAAAUUUUAAUAAUUUGGUGUAUAAUCUAGCUGUUUUUUCCUAAUAUUUCAGAGAAAUGCUUACCAUUUAAAUCAAUUACUACUUUAACACAUCUUACCCAUAAAUAACAAAACUUUUUAUUCUUCUGUUAGCUAUCCUCAUAUUCUUGUGUCAUAGUAUGUUUCUUAUUCAUAGGAUAGUGAUUACUUUGCAGGAAAUACACAGCCAUGAAUAUGUUCAAAUGCCACUGAAUUAUCUUCUCCUAUUGUAUAUCUGCAAAAGUAAACAGAAUACCAUGUAUAUCUUGAGUAUAAAAUACAAUACAGGAAGGCCUAACAUUUUCCUCCAAUCUUAAAAUUCAGUCCAAGAUUUUGUAAGGAUUUGAAUAUAUAGUUAUCUAUCUCUUUGGGAAAAAAAACUGUUUUCACCAUAUAAGACAGCAUAUUAUCUGUACGAGAUUAACUAUGUUUGAGUCAAUUGAUUAUUUCCUCAAGACUUCGCAGAGAAAAAGUAAAUAGAAAAAUAAGGAAAAGAAAAUAAGAUAAAAGAAGCUAUUAUUCAUUAUAUCAAGAAAUAUUUUCUUUUAUAACUUUUAUUAUUUUUGCAGCACCAAAAACUACCAAGAGUCUUAGAUAUCUCAGAAACUGGGGGUGGGGGGGAAAUCAUUCUAGGUCAUGGGCUAGAAAGGUUGCCUGAUGGUUUAGCAAGUACAAUUGCUCACAUAUAUUAAAUGUUAAAAGUUUAUCUGAUAUACUGUUGAUUCAUUGAACUGUGUUUUUAUUGACUUGAGCCAGAUGAUUGUUUUAUAGCACUACUUUUAUUUUUUAACAGACUUUUUCUCUUUAUAGCUGUUUAUUUCAUUUAUCAAUAAACAGAUUAGCAUCCAUAAACUAAAGACAGUCUGAAUGACUCUCUCAAAAUAAUAUAGUAAUUUUGAUACUUGUGUAAUAUUAGAAGCAGAAUGAGUGAUAGCAUAAUGACUAGGAUUGGAGGAAGCUGUAAAGCUCAAGGAACUGUUAUUUUUGAGAUAAAUCUUACAAAAAAACUAAGAAGUGAGGUACAGUGUAAGAAUAAAUUAUGAUUAUUGAAAUCAAAGCAUAUGCAGUAAAAGACGAAUACACUUAAAAAGAAGGGUGUUGAAUAUUAACUUACAAGAAAAUUUUGGUGUAAAAUAUGGAGAUUAAAAAUAUUGGCCAGUGUGAGCAAAAAUAAUGAGAAAACAUGCAUAUGAAUAUAAAUGGUCAAUACUAAUUGAAAAGGCACUGUAAAUUGGUGGUGGAAGGUACUUUCAACAGAAAUAAUCCAAAAUUUAUUAAAUUGUGUCAGACCUGCUGAGAUUACACUACUACACUCACCAACUGCAACUACUUGAACCAACAAAAACUCAAGUGAAAUAGCAUCAAAAAUUCUAGGAAGACUAAUCCUUGAUAUCACUAACCCACAUAUCCCUCAUAAACCUAACACAAAAAAAGUCCAUGAUGGCUUUAAUCAUUUAAAAACACUCCUACAUGUACAAUUCUAUUAUCAGCAUUAGCAAAGUUUUCAAAAACAUUCCUUGCUAGUAACUCAUAUGGAAAAUACCACCACUUUAAGAAACAAUGCAGACCACUAGUUAGCAAUUUACCUCCUCUCUAUCCCUACACAUUUCCACACAUCCAUACCACAUAUCCAAAUAACAUCAUAUUCACAUCCUCACACCAUUUUGCAGACUCAGCUCCACAAUAACUUUACAAAAACCACUUAGACACCUUAUUCCACAACAGACUUAAGUAGCAGCCACCAAAUUCACCAUCCUCUUUCUUCACACCCAAUAACACAAAUGUACCACACAUGCAGAAAAUGUGCUGUUUUGUCUCUUAGUAAACACUCUGUUGAUUGCAAUCUCUCAAAGUGAAAUUUUCUCUUUGAGUUGUUUCUUCUAAAUCUUUUUAGCCAGUCACUUUUUAAAAUGUGGCCAUUUUUACUUAAUAUUCAUAGAUUAUUGUCUCAAGAUGAAUUAUGCAUACAAAUCUAGUCUACCUGCUGUAAUGUUUGACAUAUUUCUCACUUUUAAGCAAAAACCAGUUUUAUUAAGUAGGAAUGCAGACAAAUCACAAAUUCCUUCAGGUAGAUAGUCCUGCUUGAUCUCUAGAAAGGGCAUAGGCAGAAACUCAAUAAGAUGUACCCAGUGUAAGCUUUGGACACAUAAGAGGUGCAGCAAUAUCAUAGGAAGGUUAACAGGGAAAAUAGUUUUUGUGUGUGCACAGGUACAAUAAACACUAAAAUGUACAGAAAAUAGACUCCAUCACAUGCCAGGGGAAAACUAGAAGUAGUCAAUAGCUUCCGUUACCUAGGUGACCAAAUCAGUAGCGGGGGUGGAUGCUCUGAGAGCUUGGCUGCUAGAAUAGGAAUAGCCUGGGCUAUUCAGAGAGCUCCUAUCUCUGCUGGUAAUAAAGGGCCUCUCUCUCAGAGUGAAAGGCAGACUGUAUGAUGCCUGUGUGCAAACAGUCAUGUUAGAGAGCAGUGAAACAUGAAAGAAGUGAAGCUAGUAUGCUUUGCUGGAUAUGUAAUGUCAGUGUGAAUGCACAACAGAGUGUAAGCAUCCUGAGAGAAACGUUGAGCUUAAGAAGCAUCAGUUAUGGUGUGCAAAAGACAAGUGUGCUGGUAUGGUCAUGAUACAUAUGGACAAGGACUGCUGUGUGAAGAUGUGCCACACUUUAAACCUGUGGUAGAUCCAGGUAGACAUGGGACAAGGUGUUGAAGCAUGAUUUUUGAAUGUUGGGCCUCAUGGGUGCAAUGACAAGUGACCAAGACCUUUAGCGAUAUGGCCGUGCUUGAGAAGACCCAUCAAACCAAGUGAGAUCAUAGUCAUAACAAUGCUAGUGUUGCAUAACUGGCAUGUAAAAAGUACCCUUCAAACGUUGGGCAAUAUUCUAUGCUGAGAAGACCUGGACAAAGCCAGUGCCAUCUGACACCCAUGCUAGUGCACAUAAAAAACAUCAUUUGAGCAUUGGACCUCACGGAAGCAGUGACAGGUAACUGAGAUCUUUGGCAAUAUACUGUACCAAGUGAAAUCAUAGUCAUGGCUGAUGCAAGUGUCACAUCUAUGACACCUGUGCCGGUGGCACAUAAAAAGCACCCACUACUCUUGGAUUGGUUGGUGUUAGGAAGAGCAUCGAGAUGUAGAAACCUUGCCAAAUCAUAUUGGAACUUGGUGCAGCUACCUGGCUUACCAGUUUUCAGUCAAACCAUCUAAGCUGUGCCAGCAUUGAAAGUGGAUGUUAAACAAUGAUGAUGAUAACCUACCCACCUUCAUAGCUCUAUAUUUGCAUGUGUUUGUGUGUGUGUAUAAAGUAGAUUUAGAGAUAGAAAGUACAGUGUUAUAUAUUUGAAGAAAAUAGGAAUGGCUUUUCUGACAAUUUUUCCACUUUAAUAAUUAGAUGUUUAUAAAGAAUUGGGUAUUUAAUGAUUUAUAAACAUCUAAUUAUCAGAAAAGCCAUUCCUAUUUGUGUAUAUAUAUAUGUAUAUUUUCACAGGCCUUCUACACAUGUACCUCCUUACGACCAUACAUUCAAAUCAGUAAGUGAGAUUCUAUGUAGUUCAUAUACAUACCUUUCUCGCUGAAGCUCUUUAGAAAGUAGCAAUGACUGGCACCUGUUGUGUUGAUUAUAUAUGGUGGCUCAUCAAUGAAUGUUGGAAUAAACAGCGAAUCAAACAUUUAGAGAAAUAUCUUUGACCACAUACAAAAAGGGUGCGAAUUCAUGCAAAACUAUAAUACAAGCACACAAAAAAUGUUAAGUUUACCCAAGUGCAACUAGAAUCCUGUCCCCAACACUUCAUUUUAGAUUCAAAGCUUUAGGGCAGCCACCCUCCAAGUCUGCAUAAGGCAUUCUGUUAGAAGAAACAUGGAUAGAAUUAUUUGACUAACCAUUGGCAAAAUAACUGACAUUAUCUCCUUAUAUGCAGCACAUUCAGGACUAGUAGAUAAACAGACAAGCUUUUUAUGAAGACUUUCUGCAGAUUACUUUGAUAACAGACUUCAUUAUCAUAGCCGGCAAUUUUAAUGGCCAUAUUGAACAACACCAUGAUGCCAUUUCUGGCCUACAUAGCUAUAUGUGUUCAGUACAAAAAAAAUGAGGAGAGAUUACGACUGCGAGAGUUCUGUGAUGCAAAUGAUCUCACUAUCUACAUAUGAACUUCAGCAAAUCAACCAGUCAGGUGAACAAACAAGCUAGAUAGAUUUUACUUUCACCAGAAAGCAGGACUGGCAAAUGACUAAAUGCAGUCUUUCUCAAGUAAAGAAUGUACCUCCCAACAGAAACUACUGAUUACUGGUUUCAAAGUAAGGAUUUCACUGACUCAGAGACAAAAGAUGAUUUGGACACGAAAGACAUGGAACUUGAAAGAUCAUAGAUUCAGAGAGUUAUUAAAUGACACUCUUACCAAGAGGAAAUAGAAACUUAUAACAGAACAAAAUUGGCAGUGUUUAAGGAAUAAUCUGCUGGGAGCUAGAGACUGGUGCUAGGUCCCAACCAAAUAUAGAGUGAUUUGGUGGUAGAGCAAUAUUGUAGACAAUGCCAUAACAGCAAAGAGACAAGCUUGGGAAAAUUGAAAAAGAAGAGGAGGGGCAACAGAAAACAUCUCUUCUGUUUGGCUUUCAAUUUUCAACACCUUUAAUUUUGUUCCAAUUAAUUUCAAAUUUGGUGUACUGAUGUAAGUUUUGUAUGCUAAUUAUGAAAAUAAAAUUCAUUUUUGCUUUAACUUAAUAAAUAAAAACUUAAUAGCUUUCAAAAUUUGGGGUAAUUUUAGCCAAUUGUAAACCAGAGACACAUUGGUGUUUGUUUUAAUAGUAACAAGCCAAGCUGUUACUUGAAUUUACACUAUGAAUAAUGCAUUAAUUGUUUUUGUCAAAUUUGGUAUACUGAUGUAAUUUUUCACACUGAAUCUGAUUCUGUUAUUCAUUUGCUCUAGAAAAAUUGUAAAAAAAUAUUACUGACCCUAAAUUCCACUCAAUCCUAAACCCUAACUCAAACCAUAAACCCCAGACAUACGUUGUUGAAUUUUCACUGAACUACAGUAGUAAUAUACCUUUUUUUUUUUUUUUUUCACAAAAAAAUUUGAUAAUUUCAUUUAUGAUUUUUCCUUUUUAUAUUGCUUAUUCCAACGUUUCACUUGACUUUAUUCAUUUAAAUUUACUAAAACUUCAAGACGUAUAAGUACUUUCGUCAUAAUAUAUUGCUUUCAUUUUCUCUUAUAAAAGUUAUCAUGCAGAAAAUGUCAGUUUCCAAAUCCUGUUUUCUGAUUGGGUUAAAAUCGUCAAACUUUAAGCCUCUGUAACAUAUUCCUAAAAUUUUUCUGGAACAAGUGAAUAACAUCAGUGUAAAAAAUUACAUCAAUAUACCAAAAUUCCAAAAAUGUGAAACCCAAGCAGAAAAGAUAAAAAAGAAACUAUCAGAUACACUUAGCAGAGAGACAAAGAAGUAUGUUCUAUGACAUGAGAAUUGAGAUAGAAAUGUGUAUAGAGUGAAAUGAGUAACACUAGCUCUCAUUGAUAUAGAUAAGAGUGUGUAGUGGAGAGAGAAUCUAUUCCAUAUAAACCCAACAGGGAGUCUAGCUAUCCAAGUAUGGUACUGUAGCAAGUCAUCAAAGGCGGCAAUAUGAUGUAUGGUCGUUUGCCUAAACAAGCAUAAUUGUUGGUAAUCCCAUUGGUUAAAAUUAGGCAUUCUAAACUUUUGUCAAAGAAAUCUUUCAUGAAAUACGGUUCUUAGAAUUCGGACAUGGGCAGUUAUAAAAACCCUGAUUUUUGGGAAAUUACUCAGUGUUUGUAGGAUAUUACUAAACCCCACGGCACUCACAAUAGUGAUCGUUGGAUGUUACUAAACUCCACGACACUCAUUCCUUGAGAUAUUGGCUAUUUUUUUAUGCCAUGUCUAUCACUUAAAUCCAACAAGACAUUUGAAUUCUUGUGAACUCUAGUAGUUAGUAUGAAGGAUUAGCUCGUGUAUAUUUUAAGUCGUAACUCUCUACAACAAAAUGACUUUACUUUCCAAUUGUACUAUAAAUGCUAAAUGUACAUAAAUAAACUAAUGUAGUAAUUA